Molecule: ribosomal RNA, 230 nt
Filed under: uncultured Alicycliphilus sp.
Lineage: Bacteria; Pseudomonadati; Pseudomonadota; Betaproteobacteria; Burkholderiales; Comamonadaceae
Description: partial 16S ribosomal RNA
Rfam family: Bacterial small subunit ribosomal RNA
Source: RNAcentral
AGAGAUGCAUUGGGUUUAAAGUGUGCGCAGGCGGUUUUGUAAGACAGAGGUGAAAUCCCCGGGCUCAACCUGGGAACUGCCUUUGUGACUGCAAGGCUGGAGUGCGGCAGAGGGGGAUGGAAUUCCGCGUGUAGCAGUGAAAUGCGUAGAUAUGCGGAGGAACACCGAUGGCGAAGGCAAUCCCCUGGGCCUGCACUGACGCUCAUGCACGAAAGCGUGGGGAGCAAACA